CCCCCCCCCCUCCCCCCCCCGGCAGAAACAUGUUUGCUUUUGCAGGUAUGAACACUUUGUACCGAGCGGCGGACCUGUUUAAUGUCCAGAUGAUGCUCGUGUGGUUGAAAACGUCUCCUGCUGUUUGCGUUCCUGUCUGAUUCCAUCGCCCGUAGCUGUGACAACCAAGUAAAAGUCAGAUUUGCCACCUCACGACCAAACCCAAGGACCUGUGAGACACGCUGACUUAUUCACACUCGCUGAAAAGAGAAGAAGAGCAUGCAACAAAUUGACCGUGACUAAUGCCGGUGUGAGUAAUCCAAUAUUCUGUCAAUCAUUAGUCGCACAGAGAACUCUGUGUUGGCUCUCUUCAGCCUACAUGCGGCUUCGCUUUGGCCCACUUCAAAGCUCCGUCCCGUGACUCCCAUCCUGAGGCUAAACAACUGGUCCGAGCCGUGUUGAUGUGGACAUGCUGCAGAGGGAGAAAGGCGGAGCGGCCAUAUGGUCGAGGCCUUCGUUCAGCUGGCGCAACCAUGAACGCUGUUGACCCGACUCGUUUUCCUCCAGGUUGAGCUGAACGAUGAAGCAACACCAAGUCAUCAUGUUCUAUACUGUUAAUAUAAGCCAUAUGUAAAGUGGCCACAGAUUUCCCUCUUUCCUAUUCAUUGUCUCUCUCUUUUUACUUACAUUUUUAAUCACUUUUUUUGUCGUUUUAAACAUAUUUUUUGAUAAUUUUUUAAAAUCUUUUUUCUGUUUUAAAUUUUUUGUUUUUUGUGAAGCGCCUCGUGAU
Molecule: long non-coding RNA, 769 nt
Organism: Nothobranchius furzeri (turquoise killifish)
Lineage: Eukaryota; Metazoa; Chordata; Actinopteri; Cyprinodontiformes; Nothobranchiidae
Source: RefSeq, a predicted model, not a curated record